GAUGAACGCUAGCUACAGGCUUAACACAUGCAAGUCGAGGGGAAACGACAUCGAAAGCUUGCUUUUGAUGGGCGUCGACCGGCGCACGGGUGAGUAACGCGUAUCCAACCUGCUCAUCACUUGGGGAUAACCUUGCGAAAGUAAGACUAAUACCCACUGAUAUCUCUAGAAGACAUCUGAAAGAGAUUAAAGAUUUAUCGGUGAUGGAUGGGGAUGCGUCUGAUUAGCUUGUUGGCGGGGUAACGGCCCACCAAGGCAACGAUCAGUAGGGGUUCUGAGAGGAAGGUCCCCCACAUUGGAGCUGAGACACGGUCCAAACUCCUACGGAGGGCAGCAGUGAGGAAUAUUGGUCAAUGGGCGAGAGCCUGAACCAGCCAAGUAGCGUGCAGGAAGACGGGCCUAUGGGUUGUAAACUGCUUUUAUAAGGGAAUAAAGUGAGAGUCGUGACUCUUUUUGUAGGUACCUUAUGAAUAAGGACCGGCUAAUUCCGUG
This 492-nucleotide ribosomal RNA is filed under the name uncultured bacterium. RNAcentral describes it as "partial 16S ribosomal RNA". It matches the Rfam family "Bacterial small subunit ribosomal RNA", at positions 28 to 507 of the family's 1533-position model. The record is from RNAcentral.